RNAcentral lists this ribosomal RNA (369 nucleotides) under uncultured bacterium. RNAcentral describes it as "bacterial SSU rRNA". It matches the Rfam family "Bacterial small subunit ribosomal RNA", at positions 527 to 894 of the family's 1533-position model. The record is from RNAcentral.
GUAGGGUGCGAGCGUUAAUCGGAAUUACUGGGCGUAAAGGGUGCGCAGGCGGCGUCGCAAGUCAGGCGUGAAAUCCCCGGGCUUAACCUGGGAAUGGCACUUGAAACUACGAUGCUGGAGUAUGGCAGAGGGAGGUGGAAUUCCACGUGUAGCGGUGAAAUGCGUAGAGAUGUGGAGGAACACCGAUGGCGAAGGCAGCCUCCUGGGCCAAUACUGACGCUCAUGCACGAAAGCGUGGGGAGCAAACAGGAUUAGAUACCCUGGUAGUCCACGCCCUAAACGAUGAUGACUAGUUGUUGGAGGAGUUAAAUCCUUUAGUAACGCAGCUAACGCGAGAAGUCAUCCGCCUGGGGAGUACGGUCGCAAGAU